This 497-nucleotide ribosomal RNA is filed under the name uncultured bacterium. Its description in RNAcentral is "partial 16S ribosomal RNA". It matches the Rfam family "Bacterial small subunit ribosomal RNA", at positions 28 to 507 of the family's 1533-position model. The record is from RNAcentral.
GACGAACGCUGGCGGCGUGCCUAAUACAUGCAAGUAGAACGCUGAAACUUGGUGCUUGCACCGAGCGGAUGAGUUGCGAACGGGUGAGUAACGCGUAGGUAACCUGCCUGGUAGCGGGGGAUAACUAUUGGAAACGAUAGCUAAUACCGCAUAAGAGUAGAUGUUGCAUGACAUUUGCUUAAAAGGUGCAAUUGCACCACUACCAGAUGGACCUGCGUUGUAUUAGCUAGUUGGUGGGGUAACGGCUCACCAAGGCGACGAUACAUAGCCGACCUGAGAGGGUGAUCGGCCACUCUGGGACUGAGACACGGCCCAGACUCCUACGGGAGGCAGCAGUAGGGAAUCUUCGGCAAUGGACGGAAGGCUGACCGAGCAACGCCGCGUGAGUGAAGAAGGUUUUCGGAUCGUAAAGCUCUGUUGUAAGAGAAGAACGAGUGUGAGAGUGGAAAGUUCACACUGUGACGGUAUCUUACCAGAAAGGGACGGCUAACUACGUG